RNAcentral lists this ribosomal RNA (420 nucleotides) under uncultured bacterium. Its description in RNAcentral is "bacterial SSU rRNA". It matches the Rfam family "Bacterial small subunit ribosomal RNA", at positions 355 to 774 of the family's 1533-position model. The record is from RNAcentral.
UAAGGAAUAUUGCUCAAUGGGAGAAAUCCUGAAGCAGCAACGCCGCGUGGAGGAUGAAGGGUCUAUGACUUGUAAACUCCUGUAAAGAAGGAAAAAAUUCCCAUUUGAUGGGAGAUGAUGGUACUUCUGGAGUAAGCCCCGGCUAACUACGUGCCAGCAGCCGCGGUAAUACGUAGGGGGCAAGCGUUGUCCGGAUUUACUGGGUGUAAAGGGUGCUCAGGCGGAUUUGUAAGUCAGAGGUGAAACCUUACAGCUUAACUGUGAAACUGCCUUUGAUACUGCAAGCCUAGAGUAUGGAAGAGAGUGAUGGAAUAUCUGGUGUAGCAGUGAAAUGCGUAGAUAUCAGAUAGAACACCAAUGGCGAAGGCAGUCACUUGGUCCAUUACUGACGCUAAAGCACGAAAGCGUGGGUAGCAAACA